AAGUCGAGGGGUAACAUAGGAAAGCUUGCUUUUCUGAUGACGACCGGCGCACGGGUGCGUAACGCGUAUACAACCUACCUUUUAGCGGGGAAUAGCCCAGGGAAACUUGGAUUAAUGCCCCAUAGUAUAUAGACUUCUCCUGAAGUUUAUAUUAAACAUUUAUGGCUAUUAGAUGGGUAUGCGUCCUAUUAGUUAGUUGGUAAGGUAACGGCUUACCAAGGCAGCGAUAGGUAGGGGUCCUGAGAGGGAGAUCCCCCACACUGGUACUGAGACACGGACCAGACUCCUACGGGAGGCAGCAGUGAGGAAUAUUGGACAAUGGGCGAGAGCCUGAUCCAGCCAUGCCGCGUGCAGGAAGACUGCCCUAUGGGUUGUAAACUGCUUUUACAGAGGAAGAACCACCCCCACGUGUGGGGGUUUGACGGUACUCUGCGAAUAAGGAUCGGCUAACUCCGUGCCAGCAGCCGCGGUAAUACGGAGGAUCCAAGCGUUAUCCGGAAUCAUUGGGUUUAAAGGGUCCGUAGGCGGGCAGUUAAGUCAGUGGUGAAAGUCUUCCGCUCAACGGGAGAACUGCCAUUGAUACUGAUUGUCUUGAGUUAUUAUGAAGUGGUUAGAAUGAGUAGUGUAGCGGUGAAAUGCAUAGAUAUUACUCAGAAUACCGAUUGCGAAGGCAGAUCACUAAUAAUAUACUGACGCUGAUGGACGAAAGCGUAGGUAGCGAACAGGAUUAGAUACCCUGGUAGUCUACGCCGUAAACGAUGGUUACUAGCUGUUCGGCCCAAUUGAGGGCUGAGUGGUUAAGCGAAAGUGAUAAGUAACCCACCUGGGGAGUACGUUCGCAAGAAUGAAACUCAAAGGAAUUGACGGGGGCCCGCACAAGCGGUGGAGCAUGUGGUUUAAUUCGAUGAUACGCGAGGAACCUUACCAGGGCUUAAAUGUAGUCUGACAGGUCUGGAAACAGACUUUUCUUCGGACAGAUUACAAGGUGCUGCAUGGUUGUCGUCAGCUCGUGCCGUGAGGUGUCAGGUUAAGUCCUAUAACGAGCGCAACCCCUGUGGUUAGUUGCCAGCGAGUAAUGUCGGGAACUCUAGCCAGACUGCCGGUGCAAACCGCGAGGAAGGUGGGGAUGACGUCAAAUCAUCACGGCCCUUACGUCCUGGGCCACACACGUGCUACAAUGGUAGGGACAGAGAGCAGCCACUUCGCGAGAAGGAGCGAAUCUACAAACCCUAUCACAGUUCGGAUCGCAGUCUGCAACUCGACUGCGUGAAGCUGGAAUCGCUAGUAAUCGCAUAUCAGCCAUGAUGCGGUGAAUACGUUCCCGGGCCUUGUACACACCGCCCGUCAAGCCAUGGAAGCCGGGGGUACCUGAAGUCGGUCACCGCAAGGAGCCGCCUAGGGUAAAACUGGUAACUGGGGCUAA
Molecule: ribosomal RNA, 1423 nt
Filed under: Salegentibacter mishustinae
Lineage: Bacteria; Pseudomonadati; Bacteroidota; Flavobacteriia; Flavobacteriales; Flavobacteriaceae
Description: bacterial SSU rRNA
Rfam family: Bacterial small subunit ribosomal RNA
Source: RNAcentral